RNAcentral lists this ribosomal RNA (194 nucleotides) under uncultured bacterium. RNAcentral's name for it is "partial 16S ribosomal RNA". It matches the Rfam family "Bacterial small subunit ribosomal RNA", at positions 1307 to 1500 of the family's 1533-position model. The record is from RNAcentral.
GCAACCCGCCUGCAUGAAGUUGGAAUCGCUAGUAAUCGCGGAUCAGCAUGCCGCGGUGAAUACGUUCCCGGGCCUUGUACACACCGCCCGUCACACCAUGAGAGUCGGGAACACCCGAAGUCCGUAGCCUAACAGCAAUGGGGGCGCGGCCGAAGGUGGGUUCGAUAAUUGGGGUGAAGUCGUAACAAGGUAGC